AGAAUCAUUAAGUUCUAUGAAAAUCAUAAGCAUUGGCGAAGCACUCGUUACUAUGAAUUGCAUGAAACUCAUGCCAAGAAUUUACUUAACACGAUUGUGAUCAACAACCUUUACUACUUUUGAAUAUAAGUUCAUAACAAUUAGGUGAAAUUCCCUUAUAUCCUCGCAUCAAACUUAUGCAUGAAAAUUAAGCGUGCACUCUCAACCAACACACACAAAUCAGUUUUAAUUCAUGUAGAUAAGUAAAUUGAAUUCACAACUUAUGAAACGCAAUUGAAAGUAAUCAAAUCAUAUAGCAAGCAUAAACAUGGUUUCGAAUUCCCCCUAGCCAAGGGGGGUUUAGUUCCUCAUACUCACAAAGCAAAGAUACAUAAAUUUAGACAUUAAAAUCCAAAGAAAGAAAACACCUAGAUGAUCCAACUUGGAAAGCAGGUGCAUCCACAAGUCUUCUUUCCUCCUUGCUGCGGCACUUGGUCUAAAGUCAGGUUCUAGGGUGGUAUUUGUAUGGGAGAAUGGGUAGGGAAUGGUAUGGAAGGGUUUAGGAUUGAUGGGGGGUACGACUAGGGUAAAAAGAAUCAGAAAAAUAUGGAAGAAUGGUGAAGGAAGGCUGCGGCAAAGAGAGGGAAUGAUUUCUGGCGAAAAUUCUGAAUAUGGAGGGGUGGUUGAUGUGUUUUUGAUGUAGUGUAAUCUCUAGUGUUCUUCCCUUCACUCCCUAUUUAUAGAAGAUCCAAAGCAAAGAAUCACUCAAGUGGCUUCAAUAAACAAUACAAACAAAGACCAAAAUGAUGCAAAAACAGCUAGUUUACAUGCUCGUUUAUCAUUGUCUUGCCUUUAACAAAAGGCAAUCAUUCCUUUUUUGCUAAUUCAACUCCUUUGUAGCUGUCCAUGUACCUUCAUUCUUCAAUUUCGAUGCAUUUGCCUUGUAUUCCAUCCCUUUUCCACAUGUACUAGCUGUUAGACAACUUUCACACACAUGUUUU
Molecule: long non-coding RNA, 980 nt
Filed under: Malus domestica (apple)
Lineage: Eukaryota; Viridiplantae; Streptophyta; Magnoliopsida; Rosales; Rosaceae
Description: long non-coding RNA (MDOM_LNC009242)
Source: RNAcentral